GUACUGCUGAGGAGUUCCACAAUAGGACGAAACGGCCGUCCAAUGC
This is a non-coding RNA of Schistosoma haematobium, 46 nucleotides long. NCBI's taxonomy places the organism in Eukaryota, Metazoa, Platyhelminthes, Trematoda, Strigeidida, Schistosomatidae. The record is from Rfam.